Long non-coding RNA from Equus asinus (donkey), 2483 nucleotides. Lineage: Eukaryota; Metazoa; Chordata; Mammalia; Perissodactyla; Equidae. The record is from Ensembl.
AACAAGUCUCCCUAGUACUUUUGACUUUCCUGCUUCUGCUUACUCUGUUCUACACCUGGCAUUAUUUCAGGGGAAUUCAGCCUGGCCCUGGGAAUGAGAAUGAUACAAAUACAAUAUUCUAGGGAAAGUUCUGGGGAAAAACAUCUACUAGGGAAAGAACAUUCUGACCCGUCCUUCGGUCAGGUGAAGCGAUGGGAGUGGAGAGGGAACAAAGAAAUCUGUGGCCCCCACAGAUCUCUCUGGGAGGACGGUGGUUGCCACGGCCCAUUGAGUCAGGAGGCCACUGGGGGUAGCCUCCUUGAAGUACAGAAUUACAGAAGCUUGACUCCCCCCGGGCCUGCACACAAUCAAUUGCUCUUAGGACUAUUGUCUACCUUACAAUCAAUUACUCUUAGGACUAUUGUCUACCUUGCAAAAACCCGCUUACGUGAGCCAAAGAUAUGUACUGGGACUGUUUCAUGAAAUCAUCCUUGCAUACCCUGAGCCCUAUAUAAAUCAUACAUACACAAAAUAAAGUUAGACUUGGACACUAAACUCCUUGUCUCACUGCCUCCUCCCUCGCCGACGCUGUCCAUCCCUCAGGAGACCCUGUUCGGCUGGGGCUGGACCCCGGCAGUUCACAUGUUUCUGUUGGAUGGUUCCGGUGUGUCCAGUGGGUAGUUCUGGCAUGUCCGGCAGGUUUUUCUGGCCUGUCUGGAAGAUGAUUCUGGCGCAUUCUAGACUUGAUACCAGCAUGACCAGCAGGUGAUUCACACAAGUCUGGCAGGUUGUUCAGGCUUGUCCAGCAGGUGGUUCUGGUGUUUCCAGCACCUGGGCCCGGCAUAUCCAACGUGUGGUUCCAACGUGUCCGGUGUUUGCUUCUGGGGUGUCUGGCAGUGGAUUCCUACAUUUCCGGUGGGUGAUUCCGGCAUGUCCGGCAAGUGGCUACAGCGUGUCCGAGACCUGAUUGCAUCGGGACGGGUUGGUGGUUUCGGCAUGUCCAGGUGGUGGUUCCAGCAUUUCUGGCAGGUAUUUCCAGUCUGUCCGGAAUUUGGUUAUGGCAUAUCUGGGACCUGGUCCUGGCACAUCUGGCCGGUGAUUUCAGUGUGUCCAGCAGGCUGCUGUGGCAUGUCUGGCAGGUGGUUCUCGCUUUUUUCUGGCAGGUGGAUCUACUGUGUCCGGCACCUGGUUCUGGCAUAUCCAACAGGUGGUUCCAGAGAUUCCGGCAGGUGGAUCCAGGGUGUCAGGUAGGUGGUUCCGGCAUGUCCGGCCACUGGUUCAGCCGUGUUUGGUGGGUGGAUCAGUGCUAUCCAGCAGGUGGAUCAGUCGUGUCUGGCGGUUGGUUUCUGCAUAUCUGGGGGUUGUUCCGGCCUGUCAGUCAGUUGGUUCCAGUGUGUCCAGAAGAUGGUUCCGUUGUGUCCGGUGGGUGAUUUUCCACUUCCUGUAUGUGAUUCCAGCGUGUCCAGAAGGUGCUUCCAGCCUGUCCGAGACCUGAUUCUGGAGUCUCCAAUGUCUGGUUCCAGAGUGUCUGGGUGGUGGUUCCGACAUGUCUGGCAUUUGGUUCUAGCGUGUCAGGCAGGUGGUUCACUGCCGGGAGCCAUCAGCCUAAAAGUUAAGCCUCUGCCUUGUGACACGGGCCAGGAGAGAGAUGAGGGGAUGCACGGCGACCCUCAAGGGAAUCUACCAGGCUGCCCCUGCAACAAGUCUCCCUAGUACUUUUGACUUUCCUGCUUCUGCUUACUCUGUUCUACACCUGGCAUUAUUUCAGGGGAAUUCAGCCCGGCCCUGGGAAUGAGAAUGAUACAAUACAAUAUUCUAGGGAAAGUUCUGGGGAAAAACAUCUACUAGGGAAAGAACAUUCUGACCCGUCCUUUGGUCAGGUGAAGCGAUGGGAGUGGAGAGGGAACAAAGAAAUCUGUGGCCCCCACAGAUCUCUCUGGGAGGACGGUGGUUGCCGCGGCCCAUUGAGUCAGGAGGCCACUGGGGGUAGCCUCCUUGAAGUACAGAAUUACAGAAGCUUGACUCCCCCCGGGCCUGCACACAAUCAAUUGCUCUUAGGACUAUUGUCUACCUUACAAUCAAUUACUCUUAGGACUGUUGUCUACCUUGCAAAAACCCGCUUACGUGAGCCAAAGAUAUGUACUGGGACUGUUUCAUGAAAUCAUCCUUGCAUACCCUGAGCCCUAUAUAAAUCAUACAUACACAAAAUAAACUUAGACUUGGACACUAAACUCCUUGUCUCACUGCCUCCUCCCUCGCCGACGCUGUCCAUCCCUCAGGAGACCCUGUUCGGCUGGGGCUGGACCCCGGCAGUUCACAUGUUUCUGUUGGAUGGUUCCGGUGUGUCCAGUGGGUAGUUCUGGCAUGUCCGGCAGGUUGUUCAGGCAUGUCUGUCAGCUGGUCCAGGUGCAUCAAGCACAUGGUCAAGGAAUGGCCCUUCUGAGGUCCACAUAUUUCUGAAACAUGGUUCUCAUGUGUCCAAAAGGUGUGUUGGGCAUGUCUGG